RNAcentral lists this unclassified non-coding RNA (533 nucleotides) under Bombus terrestris (buff-tailed bumblebee). RNAcentral's name for it is "misc RNA ENSBTSG00005025930.1". The record is from RNAcentral. Lineage: Eukaryota; Metazoa; Arthropoda; Insecta; Hymenoptera; Apidae.
ACUUCACAGGUGAAACGAAUUAAUAAACAAAAGUUUUAUUUAACAAAGUUCUGUUUUUACCUGGUAUAAAUAUGUAUCUAAGCCAAGCACGAGCCGAUGAGAAGAACUUCUGAUACCAGCUACCGAACAAAUACACCUACUUACGUAUGUGCAUACAGUGCAGGGGAAGUUCAGUCUGGGAUUUAGAUCAAAUCGUCGAUCUUCAAGGAAGUUGGAAUUAAAUUCCGGAAAGUCACAAGUCUCGUACGUUUUCCUCUUAUCUACGCUAGAUCUGUCUACCACUGAAAAGUAUAACACAAGGACCCACAGUGAUGUCCUUGCAGCUACCGAACACCAAGUAAACCAAGCAUCCCAUGAAACUGCUGUAGAGGCCGUACUGAAGUUUUCAAAAGUUUAUCUAACGAGAACCGCCUUUCCGGCUACCAUUCCAUCGAACUGUUCGUUUUUAUCAAUAUUUUUUUCCGAUCGUCGAGAAACAACAACACGCGAUUACAUUCGCAAGGUAAACUAAACGUCACGCUACAGUCUUCCUU